This is a small nucleolar RNA of Grammomys surdaster, 130 nucleotides long. RefSeq annotates it as small nucleolar RNA SNORA17. Lineage: Eukaryota; Metazoa; Chordata; Mammalia; Rodentia; Muridae. The transcript has a single exon. The record is from RefSeq and is a predicted model, not a curated record.
ACAGGGCCUAGAGGUGUUGCAGAUAUGACUGUUGUGUCAUAUGUGUAGGUGGCAGAAAGAAGAGAAGCUAUGUCUGUGCUCAGUAUUCUGACAUGUGUUGAGAAGUUUGGCCUCUUGCUUGUAUUGUAAU